This 60-nucleotide transfer RNA is filed under the name Listeria monocytogenes. RNAcentral's name for it is "tRNA-Asp". It matches the Rfam family "tRNA", at positions 7 to 64 of the family's 71-position model. From Rfam's summary of the family: Transfer RNA (tRNA) molecules are approximately 80 nucleotides in length. Their secondary structure includes four short double-helical elements and three loops (D, anti-codon, and T loops). The record is from RNAcentral. Lineage: Bacteria; Bacillati; Bacillota; Bacilli; Caryophanales; Listeriaceae.
GUGGUGUAGGGGUUAACAUGCCUGCCUGUCACGCAGGAGAUCGCGGGUUCAAAUCCCGUC